GACGAACCGAGCGAACGUUGUUCGGAAUCACUGGGCUUAAAGGGCGCGUAGGCGGGUAUUCAAGUCUGUGGUGAAAUCCGGCAGCUCAACUGUCGGAUUGCCGUGGAUACUGGGUAUCUCGAGGGAGGUAGGGGCGUGCGGAACUAAUGGUGGAGCGGUGAAAUGCGUUGAUAUCAUUAGGAACUCCGGUGGCGAAGGCGGCACGCUGGACCUCUUCUGACGCUGAGGCGCGAAAGCCAGGGGAGCAAACGGG
Molecule: ribosomal RNA, 253 nt
Filed under: uncultured bacterium
Lineage: Bacteria
Description: partial 16S ribosomal RNA
Rfam family: Bacterial small subunit ribosomal RNA
Source: RNAcentral